CCUACGGGAGGCAGCAGUGGGGGAUAUUGCACAAUGGGGGGAACCCUGAUGCAGCGACGCCGCGUGGGUGAAGGAGCGUUUCGGCGCGUACAGCCCUAUCGGUAGGGAAGAAGAUGACGGUACCUGACCACGAAGCCCCGGCUAACUACGUGCCAGCAGCCGCGGUAAUAAGUAGGGGGCAAGCGUUAUCCGGAUUUACUGGGUGUAAAGGGGGCGCAGACGGCAAUGCAAGCCAGGAGUGAAAGCCCGGGGCCCAACCCCGGGACUGCUCUUGGAACUGCAUGGCUGGAGUACAGGAGGGGCAGGCGGAAUUCCUAGUGUAGCGGUGAAAUGCGUAGAUAUUAGGAGGAACACCGGUGGCGAAGGCGGCCUGCUGGACUGUGACUGACGUUGAGGCCCGAAGGCGUGGGGAGCAAACAGGAUUAGAUACCCGAGUAGUC
This 440-nucleotide ribosomal RNA is filed under the name uncultured bacterium. RNAcentral's name for it is "partial 16S ribosomal RNA". It matches the Rfam family "Bacterial small subunit ribosomal RNA", at positions 338 to 795 of the family's 1533-position model. The record is from RNAcentral.